RNAcentral lists this unclassified non-coding RNA (351 nucleotides) under soil metagenome. Its description in RNAcentral is "partial contains 5.8S ribosomal RNA, internal transcribed spacer 2, and large subunit ribosomal RNA". The stretch from base 1 to 120 matches the Rfam family "5.8S ribosomal RNA", at positions 35 to 154 of the family's 154-position model. The record is from RNAcentral.
GAUGAAGAACGUAGCGAAAUGCGAUAAGUAAUGUGAAUUGCAGAAUUCAGUGAAUCAUCGAAUCUUUGAACGCACAUUGCGCCCGCCAGUAUUCUGGCGGGCAUGCCUGUUCGAGCGUCAUUACAACCCUCAGGCCCCCGGGCCUGGCGUUGGGGAUCGGCGGAGCCCCCCGUGGGCACACGCCGUCCCCCAAAUGCAGUGGCGGUCCCGCCGCAGCUUCCAUCGCGUAGUAGCUAACACCUCGCGACUGGAGAGCGGCGCGGCCACGCCGUAAAACCCCCAACUUCUGAAUGUUGACCUCGGAUCAGGUAGGAAUACCCGCUGAACUUAAGCAUAUCAAUAAGCGGAGGA